RNAcentral lists this non-coding RNA (24 nucleotides) under Arabidopsis thaliana (thale cress). The record is from RNAcentral. Lineage: Eukaryota; Viridiplantae; Streptophyta; Magnoliopsida; Brassicales; Brassicaceae.
UCCAUCCAGUUUUCCUUUAAUGGU